Molecule: ribosomal RNA, 468 nt
Filed under: uncultured bacterium
Lineage: Bacteria
Description: partial 16S ribosomal RNA
Rfam family: Bacterial small subunit ribosomal RNA
Source: RNAcentral
GACGAACGCUGGCGGCGUGCUUAAUACAUGCAAGUCGAACGGACAGGCCCUGCUCUUGCGGCGUUCACGAGAGGCGAACGCGUGAGUAACACGUGUGUAUCCUCUACUUGUCUUUGGGAUAACAUUAGGAAAAUCGGGCUCUUACCCGAUAGGAGCUCUUGCAGCAUGGUGGGGGUUGGAAAGUUUCGGUGGUUGGGGCUGGAUUCGCGGGUUAUCCGCUUCAUGGUGGAGUAGUGGAUGACCAAGGUUUUGAAGGGUAGCCGGCCUGGGAGGGUGAACGGCCACAUUGGGACUGAGGUACGGCCCAGACUCCUACGGGAGGCAGCAGUGGGGAAUAUUGCGCAAUGGGCGGAAGCCAGAUGUAGCAACGCCGCGUGCGGGAUGACGGCCUUCUGGUUGAAAACCACUGUCGCAUGUAACGAAGCGUGAGUGACGGUAAUGGGUAAGAAAGCACCGGCUAACUACGUG